GUCUGCAACUCGACUACAUGAAGCCGGAAUCGCUAGUAAUCGCGGAUCAGAAUGCCGCGGUGAAUACGUUCCCGGGUCUUGUACACACCGCCCGUCACACCAUGGGAGCCGGAAAUGCCCGAAGUCAGUGACCCAACCAAUAAGGAGGGAGCUGCCGAAGGCAGGUCUGGUGACUGGGGUGAAGUCGUAACAAGGUAGC
RNAcentral lists this ribosomal RNA (199 nucleotides) under uncultured bacterium. Its description in RNAcentral is "partial 16S ribosomal RNA". It matches the Rfam family "Bacterial small subunit ribosomal RNA", at positions 1303 to 1500 of the family's 1533-position model. The record is from RNAcentral.